ACAUGCCUACAUCAUAGCGUUAAUGCAUCGGAUCCCAUUAGAACUCUGCAGUUAAGCGUGCUCAGGCUAGAGUAGUACUGGUGAUCGCCCAGGAAUUCCUAGCGUUCUACAUGCC
This is a non-coding RNA of Picea glauca (white spruce), 115 nucleotides long. NCBI's taxonomy places the organism in Eukaryota, Viridiplantae, Streptophyta, Pinopsida, Pinales, Pinaceae. The record is from Rfam.